Canis lupus familiaris (dog) is the source of this 1335-nucleotide long non-coding RNA. RefSeq lists it as uncharacterized. NCBI's taxonomy places the organism in Eukaryota, Metazoa, Chordata, Mammalia, Carnivora, Canidae. The record is from RefSeq and is a predicted model, not a curated record. The transcript is spliced from 3 exons.
GUGGGGCUGGCGGGGGCUGCCGGGAGCGGAGACCCCGGCUGCGGCCGUGGCACUGCUGCGCGCGGUCCUCCCGCCCUGUCUUCCCGUCAGCAGCGGUGUGGCCGGGACGUCCCUGCCCCGCCCAGGUGUCCAUCCGCCUUCGUCGGUGAGAAGGGCUGCAGGUUUGGGUGGGAAACCCGCCGUCCCAAGAACCGCGUUCGCCCCGAGGAGGCGCGUGCGGGACGCCCUUCCCGGUCUCCCAGAAAAUUCCUACUCAACCUUCCAGACUCAACACAAAUAUUUCCUAAAGGAGGCCUUUUCUAACUCCCUGCCUACCAACACUUUUGAUCUCCUAGGUCUCUCUGUUUUAUCACUGUUCCACCAUUGUGCAUAUUUGUGCUCUGCUACAGCAUUUAGCACAAUCUACUGUGACUCUGUUGACACCUACUACAAGGACGCGGGAGCCUCGAGCAUUACUAACUCAGCUCUGAAGACCAUUUUAUCAGAGGAACUCCAGAACUGAUGUGAGCAGAGUGGCUUCUUUGAAAGACAAUACUUCCUGAAUGUAUAAGUUUUGGGUGUUUUAGGGUGAAAACUCAAGAUUGCUUUAUAGUCACACCAUGCUUUCAAGCCUUACAUGUUCUCAGAUCCAACUAACAGAGAAAACACAGUUGCUAUGAUUGCAACUCCAUCACAAGAUGGUGUUCUGGGACUUGCGAGUGAUUUGGGCUUCAAAUUUUUUGAUUCAAGAUCAAACUAAGGUCUGUGGGCUUUUGAGGUUGGGUUCUGUCAAAAAAAAAAAAAAAAAGGUUUGUACUGUGAUGUGGUGCAGAAACAAAGGAAUUACAAAUAUAAUGAAUGCUUGUUUAUUUUAGGCCAGUCAGUAUAUACAAAUAAGCAAAAAGAAAAAAGAUCACAGAUCCCACUUAUAAAUAACUGCUAUUAGCAUUGAUGUUUAAUUUUCCAGAGUUUUUUCCAUAUGUGUUACAUAUAUUUUUGAAGACAAGAUAUGCCUUAUACAAAAAUAAGAUACAAAGGAAGCUACUACUAUCUACGAAACAGCUUAAGAAAACAGAGGAACAUAGCCUAGAAUGUCUUAUAAGUUCUGGGGACAAGCUAAAAUUCCUCACCAGAUAUCCACAUUCCAUCUCAGGAAUUUCUCAGUGUCAUUUCUGUGUAUCAAACUUUUGCCUGAUAGGCUUUUCCUUGUCUUCUCGUUUUCUUGUAGCAUGUCUUCCUCCCCCCGCCUCCCCCCCCCCCAAAUGCUGGUUCAUCUAGAGCCAUCUCACCUCUAGGAACGUGUAACCUAUUUUGGAAUCGAGUGUAAUAAAUUAGACCUUUGAGUCUCCCCCAAAA